AGUUCCUCUCCAAACAAAGUUUUUGUUUGGAGGCUCUUGACAGCUCCAUAUUCAAAUAUGGGCAGUUGAAAUGCAAAACCUUUGCAACAGUUGUUGUUUGGGCACAGGUUCUUUUGACAAACUCGAAAGAUACAAGUGUCCAAACAUUCGACAAAUUUAA
This 160-nucleotide unclassified non-coding RNA is filed under the name uncultured Chytridiomycota. Its description in RNAcentral is "sequence contains ITS2". The record is from RNAcentral. Lineage: Eukaryota; Fungi; Chytridiomycota.